GGGUGAUUAGCUCAGUUGGUAGAGCGCUGCCCUUACAAGGCAGAUGUCAGGAGUUCAAGUCUCUUAUCACCCACCA
RNAcentral lists this transfer RNA (76 nucleotides) under Leucothrix pacifica. RNAcentral's name for it is "tRNA-Val". It matches the Rfam family "tRNA". Rfam says of the family: Transfer RNA (tRNA) molecules are approximately 80 nucleotides in length. RNAcentral also lists the same sequence under 2 other names. The record is from RNAcentral. Lineage: Bacteria; Pseudomonadati; Pseudomonadota; Gammaproteobacteria; Thiotrichales; Thiotrichaceae.